AGCGUAGGUGGCCUAACAUGCCAACUGUGAAAACCCGGAGCUCAACUCCGGACUUGCAGUUGAAACUGGUAGGCUUGAGGACGGUAGAGGAAGACGGAACUGCCAGUGUAGGGGUAAAAUCCUUAGAUAUUGGCAGGAACGCCGGUGACGAAGGUGGUUUUCUGGGCCGGUUCUGACACUGAUGCUCGAAAGCCAGGGGAGCGAACG
RNAcentral lists this ribosomal RNA (207 nucleotides) under uncultured Mesotoga sp. RNAcentral describes it as "partial 16S ribosomal RNA". It matches the Rfam family "Bacterial small subunit ribosomal RNA", at positions 568 to 774 of the family's 1533-position model. The record is from RNAcentral. Lineage: Bacteria; Thermotogati; Thermotogota; Thermotogae; Kosmotogales; Kosmotogaceae.